Molecule: ribosomal RNA, 478 nt
Filed under: uncultured bacterium
Lineage: Bacteria
Description: partial 16S ribosomal RNA
Rfam family: Bacterial small subunit ribosomal RNA
Source: RNAcentral
GACGAACGCUGGCGGCGUGCUUAACACAUGCAAGUCGAACGGUAAGGCCCUUCGGGGUACACGAGUGGCGAACGGGUGAGUAACACGUGGGUGAUCUGCCCUGCACUUCGGGAUAAGCCUGGGAAACUGGGUCUAAUACCGGAUAGGACCCUGGGAUGCAUGUCCUGGGGUGGAAAGCUUUUGCGGUGUGGGAUGGGCCCGCGGCCUAUCAGCUUGUUGGUGGGGUGAUGGCCUACCAAGGCGACGGCGGGUAGCCGGCCUGGGAGGGUGACCGGCCACACUGGGGCUGAGAUACGGCCCAGACUCCUACGGGGGGCAGCAGUGGGGAAUAUUGCUCAAUGGGCGCAAGCCUGAUGCAGCGACGCCGCGUGAGGGAUGACGGCCUUCGGGUUGUAAACCUCUUUCAGUAGGGACGAAGCGAAAGUGACGGUACCUAAAGAAGAAGCGCCGGCUAACUACGUGCCAGCCGCCGCAGUAA